Molecule: long non-coding RNA, 1294 nt
Organism: Zonotrichia leucophrys gambelii
Lineage: Eukaryota; Metazoa; Chordata; Aves; Passeriformes; Passerellidae
Exons: 3
Source: RefSeq, a predicted model, not a curated record
AGCCUCGCCCGCCUGCCCUGCCGGGCCGUGGUUUUGCUCUUCGGCUGCUCCAGCGCCGCCCUGGCCCCGCGGGGAGCGCUCGAGCCCUCGGGCACCGUGCUCAAGUUCGUCCUGGCCGGGUGCCCGCUGGUGCUGGGGAACCUGUGGGACGUCACCGACCGGGACCUGGACCGGCUGGCGCAGGCGCUGCUGCGGGGGUGGCUGGGGGGGGGCCCCGGGACCCCCCUUUUGGGGCAGCUGGCCCAGGCCCGCCAGGCCCCCCGCCUCAAAUGGCUCAUCGGGGCCGCGCCCGUGGCCUACGGGCUGCCCGUCAGCCUCUGCUGAGGGGCCGGGGGAGUUUGGGGUCCCCCCAUUGCUGGGAGUGAGGGUUUGGGGUCCCUUUGUCACCUUUGGGGUCCCCCCAUUUCUGAGAGAGGUGCCCUGGAGUGAGGGUUUGGGGUCCCUUUGUCAUCUUUGGGGUUCCCCCAAUGCUUGGAGUGAGGGUUUGGGGUUCCUUUGUCACCUUUGGGGUUCCCCCAUUUCUGAGAGUGAGGGUUUGGGGUCCCUUUGUCAUCUUUGGGGUCCCCCCAAUGCUUGGAGUGAGGGUUUGGGGUUCCCCCAUUGUCAGGAGUGAAGGUUUGGGGUCCCUUUGUCAUCUUUGGGGUUCCCUCAUUGCUUGGAGUGAAGAUUUGGGGUUCCCCCAUUGCCUGGAGUGAGAGUUUGGGGUCCCUUUGGUGCUUUUGGGGUUCCCCCAUUGCCGGGAGUGAGGGUCUGGGGUUCCCCCAUUACUUAGAGUGAGGGUUUGGGGUCCCUUUGUCAUCUUUGGGGUCCCCCCAUUUCUUGGAGUGAAGGUUUGAGGUCCUUUUGUCAUCUUUGGGGUUCCCCCAUUGCCUGGAGUGAAAAUUUGGGGUCCUUUUGGUGCUUUUGGGGUUCCCCCAUUGCCUGGAGUGAAAAUUUGGGGUCCCUUUGUCACCUUUGGGGUUCCCCCAUUGCCUGGAGUGAAUUUUCGGGUGGGAUUCCAGUUGUUUUUGGGGUCCCCCCAUUAUUUAUAGGGGAGAACUGGGGGGUACCCCCAUUGCCUGGGGGGGGCUUUGGGUUCCUCCCAUCACUUUUGGGAUCCACCUGUGCCCUUUGGACUCCCCCGUUUGUUACUUUUGGGGGUCCCCCCAUUACCUCUGGUGCCAAUUUUGGGGCUCCCACCCCGCGGGGAUUUUUGGGGCGUCUGAAGGGAGGAGGGGAGGGUUGAAACUGCCUUAAUUUUAACAAAAUUUUAACAAGAUUUUUAACCAUAAAUUUGUUUUUAUUAUUUGCCUGU